UCAAUAUUUCAAAAACCCAAUGCCAAAGCACCUGGGCAGUAGCACAAAAAAAUAAAUAUAUAUAUAUAUAUAUAUCUAUAUCAGGGCCUUUCCAAUGAGGGAUCUCUAUUUUUUUUUAUCACUUUUAAGGAUUGACCCACACCAUUAGAUCUGUUUUUUACUGAGCUUUGAUGACUGAGAUUAAAACAAAAACCUUAACACUUAUGUCAAACCUACACCGUUCAAGAUCAUUAAAAAUAAAUCAAACAUUUGGAUGACUUAACAAUCACCAAAUUUUCUGAAAAUUUGCAUAAGUGAUCUACUCAUAUACACUUACAAACUGAACGGUAGAGAUGUGAUUUUGUGAUCGAGAAGUUUGUCAAAUACCCUAUCCCUAGAAAUAAACAAAAAAAGGGAUCCUCCAAGACCUCCCAAGGUCAUCGGACACUCAAACAGCCUAAUGUAACACGACUUCUACUCUCAGAACUUCCAAGCACAACAUCUCACACAAACCCAAAUGACUUGAACCUAAUAUGCAUUUCCAAAUCAUAACAUAAACUCAAGGAAUCCCAACACUUUCACAAACCUUACCCAUGCUAACAUGACACCAACGUAAUAGCAAUAACAAUCGCGUUACCACAGGCCGCCACAGGCGACUGCGAGUGGCCUCACCCGCCGCCUCCCAACACUUCAAAAAUAACAAUUCCCAUAACCCUCAACUAUGGAAAUUUACUAACUAAGCAAACUGAGCAUCCAACUUACUAGAGUCUGUCACCAAUUCAAACCGAAACUGCCCGAAACUCCACUUAAAGCUCAACCGCCGAAUCUGCAAAUUGGAAGCUCAAGGUCUCACAUCAAGACCCGAUGCUAGCCUAGCAAUACCAAGAAGAGCAAGGACCUUCAAAACUUACCUAGAACAAUCCGUUGUCAUCGUCGAACUAGUCGAACCCAACCAAGACUGCUCUGCUUGCCUCCCGCUGCUACGGUUCAAGACGAGGCCACCCACUAGACUAGGAAGCUUCUCAAGGAGGAGACAAGCUUUCCAACGCUAGUUGCGUCGUCGAGGGUCGGCCAGGUUAGGGUUCCAGUCAGAGGGCGACGACGGCAGUGGCUUUCGGGCCUCGCUGCGCCUUGUAUAUCGGUCGACGGUGCCGAAGGUUGGCAAGGUUAGGUAGGCGGGGACGAGAUGAAGAUACUGAUAUGUGGCUUGUGGCUGGGGGUUGCCGGACAGCGGACUUCCGAUCGGGAGAAGGCAAGGCUUGCGCGCGCGGCUCGAGGAGGGAGAGAAACUGAUUUCUGAAAUUCUAGGGUUCUAAAAAAUAACCCAACAUUUUUCUAUUUAACCCUUUCCAAAAAAAAUCAACUCUAAACUUUGACUGAACGUAACUUUAUCAUACGACAUCUGUUUUACCUGUACCGCGUGUCUACGAACUCGUAUCGUCGUGCUCUACAACUUCCGUGAAGGAAGUUUCUUGAGAAACCCAAUAAAUAAAAAGUCAACCAAAUAAAAAAAAUAAUAGAAACUAGUAUCUAAAUUCCGAGGUAUUACAUCUAUUCUUGUGAAAUGGUUAUUGUUUUAAUUUAGCAUUAGAGUUGUUACUCACACUUUCAGAAAGUCAUUAUGUGCUUGAGAGUUAAUAUUUUAUUAGUUCAAAUGUUACAUAAGCAAAUGCGUACCCUGUCAGUGAGCCGUGGCCUGGUUGGUUAAGGUGUUAAUUAACAACUUUGAGGUCAUGGGUUCAAACCUCAUUGACAUAUGUAGGGUGUGUGAGUUAUUUAACAAAAAGUUUUAUAAAAAAAAAAAAAUGCGUACCUACACACGGGCUACGGUGCGCUACAGCCCACCCCAGAUUUUAAAGAAACCUUACUUUGUGGCUUAAUUUUAGUUCAAAAUAUUAAUUAUUUAAAACUAGCAUACCCCAAAUUUAUAUACUUAGCCUUUAUGUUGUUAAACUUUAGUCCACAUGUUAACUUUUUUUUUUCGUUAGAUAUAUAUUUUCCUUUUGAGAAAUUUUAAAUACACGUACACCUCUAAUCUCUUAAUACACACUUCUAUUAUUUUAUGUUUCCAUUGAGAUUUUAUAGGUAAGCUAAAUGACCAAAACAACCAUCUAUUAUUAAAAAAAAAAAAAUCGCGCUAGAAGUAUUCUUUUCAACAUCUUCUACCCUAAAAUCGUCGAAAGUACGUCUUCUCCCCUAACCCUAAUUCUUCUCCACAAUUCAUUUGGAUUGUCUUUUUUUUUAUCUAUAUUAGCUUUAGUUUGAUCUUGCAGAUCAUAUUGUCAUGUACUGC
Molecule: long non-coding RNA, 2272 nt
Filed under: Fragaria vesca (wild strawberry)
Lineage: Eukaryota; Viridiplantae; Streptophyta; Magnoliopsida; Rosales; Rosaceae
Description: long non-coding RNA (FVES_LNC000252)
Source: RNAcentral